This 253-nucleotide ribosomal RNA is filed under the name uncultured bacterium. Its description in RNAcentral is "partial 16S ribosomal RNA". It matches the Rfam family "Bacterial small subunit ribosomal RNA", at positions 524 to 776 of the family's 1533-position model. The record is from RNAcentral.
UACGUAGGGUGCGAGCGUUAAUCGGAAUUACUGGGCGUAAAGGGCUCGUAGGCGGCCAACUAAGUCAGACGUGAAAUCCCUCGGCUUAACCGGGGAACUGCGUCUGAUACUGGAUGGCUUGAGUGUGGGAGAGGGAUGCGGAAUUCCAGGUGUAGCGGUGAAAUGCGUAGAUAUCUGGAGGAACACCGGUGGCGAAGGCGGCAUCCUGGACCACGACUGACGCUGAGGAGCGAAAGCCAGGGGAGCAAACGGG